UACGGGGGGGGCAAGCGUUGUUCGGAAUUACUGGGCGUAAAGGGCUCGUAGGUGGCCAACUAAGUCAGACGUGAAAUCCCUCGGCUUAACCGGGGAACUGCGUCUGAUACUGGAUGGCUUGAGUUUGGGAGAGGGACGCGGAAUUCCAGGUGUAGCGGUGAAAUGCGUAGAUAUCUGGAGGAACACCGGUGGCGAAAGCGGCUCACUGGACCGUCACUGACGCUGAGGUGCGAAAGCUAGGGUAGCAAACGGG
RNAcentral lists this ribosomal RNA (253 nucleotides) under uncultured bacterium. RNAcentral's name for it is "partial 16S ribosomal RNA". It matches the Rfam family "Bacterial small subunit ribosomal RNA", at positions 524 to 776 of the family's 1533-position model. The record is from RNAcentral.